RNAcentral lists this ribosomal RNA (253 nucleotides) under uncultured bacterium. RNAcentral's name for it is "partial 16S ribosomal RNA". It matches the Rfam family "Bacterial small subunit ribosomal RNA", at positions 524 to 776 of the family's 1533-position model. The record is from RNAcentral.
GACAGAGGGUGCAAACGUUGCUCGGAAUUACUGGGCGUAAAGCGCGUGUAGGUGGCCUACCCAGUCGGGUGUGAAAGCCCAGGGCUUAACCCUGGAAGUGCACUCGAAACUAGCAGGCUAGAGUACUGAAGAGGAGAGCGGAAUUCCCGGUGUAGAGGUGAAAUUCGUAGAUAUCGGGAGGAACACCAGUGGCGAAGGCGGCUCUCUGGCCAGAUACUGACACUGAGACGCGAAAGCGUGGGUAGCAAACAGG